GAAGAGGGCCGAGUCCGACUCAAGACAGAGACCAGAAGAGGGCUGAGUCCGACUCAAGACAGAGACCAGAAGAAGGCUGAAUCCUAGUCAAGACAGCGACCAGAAGAGGGCUGAAUCCUAGUCAAGACAGCGACCAGAAGAGGGCAGAGUCUGAGUGAAGACAGCGACCAGAAGAGGGCAGAGUCUGAGUCAGGACAGAAACCAGAAGAGGAUUGAGUCUGGGUCAAGACAGAGACCAGAAGAGAGUCACAUCUGGGUCAAAGCAAACACCACAACAGGGCAGUGUCUGAAUCAAUAACGAGACCAGAAGAGGGCCGAGUCUGAGUCAAGACAGAGACCAGAAGAGGGCCGAGUCCGACUCAAGACAGAGACCAGAAGAGGGCCGAGUCCGACUAAAGACAGAGACCAGAAGAGGGCCGAGUCCGACUAAAGACAGAGACCAGAAGAGGGCCGAGUCCGACUCAAAACAGAGACCAGAAGAGGGCGGAGUCCGACUCAAAACAGAGACCAGAAGACGGCCGAACUUGGACUCGUGUACUACAACAGCAUUUUGGUCAUUUUUGGGUGAGCUGUAUCUUUAAUAGCUAUAAGCAACAAAUAGCACAACAGAAUUUCACAGUUCAGUCUUGUUUGAGGAUGUGGAAUUGUUUAGUGUGUAUGAAACGUCUAAUACAGUGCCAGUUCCUGUCUGUUGUUUACAAUAGUCAAAAGGUCACUUCGGUUUUUGUUUUUGCUGUUGUUUAUUCCUGUAGUUCAGUUUGAAGAAUACAGAUGAUUAGAUGGAGUUUUAGGGUUCUUUAUUUUCCAAAAUUCUCGUUUUCCCUUAUUUUAUUACAAAACAUUGCUAACUUCCAUGAAGUUGUUGGGAUAUUUUGUAUCAGUUUUUAAUAGUUUGGUCAGCAUUUUGAAAGUACAAUCAACCCUACAGUAUCUACAAACCAUCACAUGUUUUUGAGGAUUAUUUCCUACUUGAUUAAGAGUAAAUAGAGGAAAAAUAAUCACAAUAACUUCAAAACAGCAGAUGUUUUAAUGUAGUUUUGUGCACUGUAGUGUUCCUCAAAGGAGAUGAAAACUGUGUAACAGCGUAUAGAAAGCUCUCCUAUUUAAAAUAGCAUUUAAGUAUUUCAUUUAUGACAGGAUUGUUUUUUUGUUUAAUAUUUUUCUCCGGUCACUGAUUUGUCUUUUGUUAAAUGUGUUGCCUGGACCAGUUAUGUUUGUGUAUAUUUGAAUGUGCAUAUUGUCUUAAGCCUGAACAAAAUAUGAAUAUGAAUGCAUUAUCACUUAAGACUGUUAAUCACGGUUUUACUUAUGUGGUAUUAGUGCUUUUCCACUGAAAGGAGAAAUGUAAAGUGAAUAUUCCUGGUCUAGGCUCAAAUGCUGUCUCAUUAAAUCUCAUUUUGCCUCCUGCAGUCAAAGUGUUUUUCAACAGGCAAUGCUACAGCUGCACCUUCCAGUUUUUUUGAACGAUAUACAGUAAUUUGUUGAUUUUUUAAUGGAUGAGUCCUAGUGUGUAUAAGCAUAACAUCUUGUUGAUUUAGUGUACAUGUAAAGAAUUUUGCCUUUAAUUUUGGUUUAUAUUCUAUUUGUUCGAUAUGAGAGUUUUAAAAAUGGCGCUGGGUUGGUAACAAUACAAGUUUCCUUUUUAAUUUUCUCACUAGCUAUCAAAUGGCCUUUUUCCUUUUUUUAUCACCCAUUGCGAUGCAGCAAAGCCUUAUUAGUACAUGUUCAACUCGUUUAUCUGCCCAGCUCAGCCCUGUAUCAUGCAUGCUGCCUUUGGCAAAGAGGUUCUUUGGCAAAGGAAGCAUGAUUGUGUAGUUGUGUCACACAACACCCCAGUGCUGUGAGUGUCCUGCACUGUAUCUUGCAUUUUACUCACCUCCUAUAGCACUUACUUUCUGCUCUUAUGGAUUAAUAUCAGGAUUAUGAUUGUUAUUGUUUUAUAUCCAUAGUUCUGUAGUUUUCUUUCCUUUGGAAAUGUCAGUUUUGUUUGCAUUUAAAUUUUAAAAAUUUGCUUAGCUGUAAUAAUGGGGCAGGACGUGUUUGGUUGUGAUGAUGCUUGUUUUUGUCCUGUAUGCAACUGCAAAAACGAACUGAUGUGUUGGAUACUUUUACGUCUGUAUUAGACAUUUUAUUUGCAAAUCUAUUGUUCGAUUCAAUUGUAAAUGAAUAGAAGAUGGGCAUCCGUCAUUUUAUAUAACCAGAGCCAUCAUUAGAUGGACAUACUGCACAUUUUUAUGAUAUAUAAUCAGAUAUAUGAGGCUAUUUAUGGUCACAGAGAGAAAGAUUCUAAAAGUCAGGAAUAUCUUUUGAUGAAAUAAUAGUAGAAAUUAUUUAUAUUGCAUUUGUUUCUUUUUAAAUACCACCGGGCAAAGUUUUCCCUUUUGCUUGUGGCAAUGCAAGAAUGAAUAUAUAGAAAUGUAGCCAACGCACAGUCAAUUCUUACAGUUUUUUUGUUUGUUAUUGCUCUUGUAUCUUGGCUAUGCUUGGCUCUGAUAUGUAGGGCAAGCUGGUGAGAUGAGUCUAAAGGUCAUGACAUGUAGUUGCAUGCCAAGAUAAUAAACAGUUACAUCGUUA
Long non-coding RNA from Sinocyclocheilus grahami, 2574 nucleotides. RefSeq lists it as uncharacterized. The transcript has 2 exons. Lineage: Eukaryota; Metazoa; Chordata; Actinopteri; Cypriniformes; Cyprinidae. The record is from RefSeq and is a predicted model, not a curated record.